GGCACUGAGCCAAACUUUACCGACGCUUUUUCCUAGCGUCGGAAAAAGUGAGUUGGCAAAACCCACAUUUGUUGUAGUGUUUGUUGUGUGUUCUGAUCAAAGUUUCAAUGGGAGCAGUAGUGUUAUUCAUAGCAAAAGUGCUAACUGCAAAACAACCUCAAUGCAGUUAAUUAAUGGGCAAAUAUAGGUAACCAACAUACUUGAAAAUAUUUAUAACCACUACUUUAAUAAGAGCCCUUGGUGCAAUGCCACAAACUUACUUUGGAAAAAAAGUGACCCAAAUAAGGUAUCCUCUCCAGCAUAUAAUGGAAUCAACUAGUAAGGUAUCAUCAUUUUUGGGGUCCAUCUACUUUGGUAGAAUAGAUUCCUAGACCAUGCACACUUACUAGUUAAAAAAUAUUCUACUUUAGAAUUAUAACAUGCAAUAAACUCUCUUUGGGAAGAUGAUUGUGUGCAACAAUUCCACAAUGCUUCUUAAUUCCUUUCAAAUAUCAAAUAGAAGGAUCUUGCAAACCUCAAUGAAUGGGCCACUUUGGUGGUCACUAUCCAUUGAAACCCACAACCCUCUAGAAGAAAAAAAAAAUAAAAAUUAACAAGCCAUGCCCAUAAAUCCAUUCAUUAACCUUGAUACACCAAUAGCAUGCAUUUUAUAAAUAUUAACAUGUCUCUCAAUCUCUUGAAAUACCAAACAGAUGGAUCAGGAAAAUUUCAAUGAAAAGGCCACUUUCGUGAUCACCAUCCACUGAAACCUACAAUCAUUCAAAUCAGGGAUCACAAACAAAUCAAUAUUUAGACCAAAUGUGAGAGUACAAAGAAUUUACAGUAACAUGUUGAAAGACCUUUAUGCAAUAAAAAUAUCUUAUAGGGACCAUAGUAUAAUUAUCAGAGUACUACUUUGUAAUAAAAUUUUAGUACAAGGAUAAAAUAAAUAUUCAGGUACCUUUUGUAAUAAAAUUUCAACAUAGGGAUUAAAAUAAAAUUUCCUAUGGACCUAUGUGAAAUAAUAUACUUUUCAUGGGCUCAAUUAAAAAAAAUUCCUUUUAGUGGCUAGCCAGAUUCUGAUUUUGGGUCGAAAUCCAAAAUCUUUUUCUUCUUUCUCACAAUAGAGUAGAGGAGGAGGGGCCAAAACCGUGGGCCCUCCUCGCCAAAACCGGCGGCCGCUGAAAUCCCUUAAUUGGUGGUCUGUCGCCUUCUUUCCGACACUCCGAUCGCUGAUUUUCCGAUAAUCGAGAGGAGAACCUUCCGCUAACCGAGAUUCAACGAUUCCUUUUUUUCCUUCUUAAAAACUGAAGGGAAGGGGGAAAAAACCCUCAUGUGGUGGCGCAGCCGCUAGCCGAGCUCACAAUCUACCCAUCCCAGGCAGCAGGUGGUGACCUCUCUGGCCACCCGAUGAGAGGAGGAGGAGGAGGGCAUCACGG
RNAcentral lists this long non-coding RNA (1418 nucleotides) under Phoenix dactylifera (date palm). RNAcentral describes it as "long non-coding RNA (PDAC_LNC003321)". Lineage: Eukaryota; Viridiplantae; Streptophyta; Magnoliopsida; Arecales; Arecaceae. The record is from RNAcentral.